Molecule: ribosomal RNA, 429 nt
Filed under: Bacteroidota bacterium
Lineage: Bacteria; Pseudomonadati; Bacteroidota
Description: Bacteroidetes bacterium partial 16S ribosomal RNA
Rfam family: Bacterial small subunit ribosomal RNA
Source: RNAcentral
UAGGGAAUCUUCCGCAAUGGACGCAAGUCUGACGGAGCAACGCCGCGUGAGUGAAGAAGGAUUUCGGUUCGCAAAACUCUGUUGUUAGAGAAGAACAGCGCAUAGAGUAACUGUUAUGCGUGUGACGGUAUCUAACCAGAAAGCCACGGCUAACUACGUGCCAGCAGCCGCGGUAAUACGUAGGUGGCAAGCGUUGUCCGGAUUUAUUGGGCGUAAAGCGAGCGCAGGCGGUCAAUUAAGUCUGAUGUGAAAGCCCCCGGCUCAACCGGGGAGGGUCAUUGGAAACUGGUUGACUUGAGUGCAGAAGAGGAGAGUGGAAUUCCAUGUGUAACGGUGAAAUGCGUAGAUAUAUGGAGGAACACCAGUGGCGAAGGCGACUCUCUGGUCUGUAACUGACGCUGAGGCUCGAAAGCGUGGGUAGCAAACAGG